Molecule: ribosomal RNA, 490 nt
Filed under: Salmonella enterica subsp. enterica serovar Muenchen
Lineage: Bacteria; Pseudomonadati; Pseudomonadota; Gammaproteobacteria; Enterobacterales; Enterobacteriaceae
Also listed under: 1 other name
Description: partial 16S ribosomal RNA
Rfam family: Bacterial small subunit ribosomal RNA
Source: RNAcentral
AAAUUGAAGAGUUUGAUCAUGGCUCAGAUUGAACGCUGGCGGCAGGCCUAACACAUGCAAGUCGAACGGUAGCACAGAGAGCUUGCUCUCGGGUGACGAGUGGCGGACGGGUGAGUAAUGUCUGGGAAACUGCCUGAUGGAGGGGGAUAACUACUGGAAACGGUGGCUAAUACCGCAUAACGUCGCAAGACCAAAGAGGGGGACCUUCGGGCCUCUUGCCAUCAGAUGUGCCCAGAUGGGAUUAGCUUGUUGGUGAGGUAACGGCUCACCAAGGCGACGAUCCCUAGCUGGUCUGAGAGGAUGACCAGCCACACUGGAACUGAGACACGGUCCAGACUCCUACGGGAGGCAGCAGUGGGGAAUAUUGCACAAUGGGCGCAAGCCUGAUGCAGCCAUGCCGCGUGUAUGAAGAAGGCCUUCGGGUUGUAAAGUACUUUCAGCGGGGAGGAAGGUGUUGUGGUUAAUAACCGCAGCAAUUGACGUUACCCGC